GCAGACACAUUACAGCCAAUCGGCAGCAGACCCUCCCUCCCAGACCCUCCCACCUCCUGCACAGCAUCCAUUUUGAAGCUGCAUUCUUAGUCAGCUGUCCAGGAGGUGGGAGGGUCUGGGAGGGAGGGUCUGCUGCUGAUUGGUUAUAACAAAUAG
Molecule: non-coding RNA, 156 nt
Organism: Pelobates cultripes (western spadefoot toad)
Lineage: Eukaryota; Metazoa; Chordata; Amphibia; Anura; Pelobatidae
Source: the annotation of a GenBank genome assembly